RNAcentral lists this ribosomal RNA (1761 nucleotides) under Acartia danae. RNAcentral's name for it is "partial 18S ribosomal RNA". It matches the Rfam family "Eukaryotic small subunit ribosomal RNA". Lineage: Eukaryota; Metazoa; Arthropoda; Copepoda; Calanoida; Acartiidae. The record is from RNAcentral.
AUAUCUUAAUAUAGCCGCGUUAAGGUUAAAUCGUGUACGGCUCAUUAUAAGACAUAUAAUGUCGCAUUAGGAAGCCUCUGCCUGGAUAUCCGCGGUAAUUCUGUGGCUAAUACAUGCACAAAGAGGUGACUUCGGAAGCCUCGUGCCUGUCUGCCCCAAAAUCAAACAGUCUGACGGCUGUUACCGCGUUUGACCAAGGACAGUUGCUACCUAUCUAAUCGCCUUGUGCGGUCGAAAGUAAUGACUUUCAUGUUAUCUAUCAGGUUUCGACUGGUACACCUUUGGGUCCAGUGCGCUUGACGGAUAACGGGGAAUCAGGGUUCGAUUCCGGAGAGGGAGCCUUAGAGACGGCUACCACAUCUAAGGAAGGCAGCAGGCACGCAAAUUACCCAGUAGCCGAAGACUGAGGUAGUGACGGAAAAUAACAAUAACAGACUCUUCCGAGGCCUGUUAAUUGGAAUGGGGCGAUUCUAAAUCACUCCACCAGGAUCUAUUAGAGGGCAAGUCUGGUGCCAGCAGCCGCGGUAAUUCCAGCUCUAAUAGCGUAUAUUAAUGUUGUUGUGGUUAAAAAGCUCGUAGUUGAAAUUCUCUGGGCAGGCUUCGGUCCCUAUUGCUAGGGUACUGAAGCUGCCGUCCUGAAGAAUGGCAUAAGAUGCAGCCUAGUGCCUUUGAUCGGGUGUUAGGCUGGUUAUGCUGGUAUACCUUGACAAAAUUAGGGUGAUCAAGGCAGGCAGUGCGGCCUGGAUAAUUGCGCAUGGAAUAUUGGAGAAGGGUCCUAUGCCAUUUUGUUGGUUUAGCGGUGUCAGGACAAUGAUUAACAGGGACUGCCGAGGGUAUUGCUAUUGACGGGCUAGAGGUGAAAUUCUUGGACCCCGUCAAGAGCUACUGCGGCGAAAGCAUUUACCAAGAAUGUUUUCAUUAAUCAAGAACGAAAGUUAGAGGGUCGAAGGCGAUUAGAUACCGCCCUAGUUCUAACCAUAAACUAUGCCAGCCAUCGAUCUGCGGGUGUUUAGUAUGAACGACCUUGCAGGGAGCUUCCGGGAAACCAAAGCUUUUGGGUUCCAGGGGAAGUAUGGUUGCAAAGCUGAAACUUAAAGUAAUUGACGGAAGGGCACCACCAGGCGUGGAGCCUGUGGCUUAAUUUGACUCAACACGGAGAAUCUUACCAGGCCCGGACACUAGAAGGAUUGACAGAUUGAUAGCUCUUUCUUGAUUUGGUGGUUGGUGGUGCAUGGCCGUUCUUAGUUGGUGGAUUGAUUUGUCUGGUUAAUUCCGAUAACGAACGAGACUCUGUCUUGCUAACUAGUCACCGGCUGGUAAGAAGUGUAGGCAGUCUAAGCCUGGUUAUUGCAACCGGGUGUCAGGCAGCCAAAGCUUCGGCCGCGUGAUCUUCUUAGAAGGACUGGUGGCUUUUAGCCACACGAAAUAGAGCAAUAACAGGUCUGUGAUGCCCUUAGAUGUUCUGGGCCGCACACGCGCUACACUGAAGUUAUCAGCUAGUCUCCCUAGGCGUGAGCCGCGGGUAAACUGUUGAAUCAACUUCGUGGCAGGGAUCGGAGCUUGCAAUUAUUCUCCGUGAACCAGGAAUGCCCAGUAGGUACGAGUUAUCAGCUUGUAUCGAUUAAGUCCCUGCCCUUUGUACACACCGCCCGUCGCUACUACCGAUUGAAUGUCUCAGUGAGAUGCUUGGAUGGCUGGAGAUCUGUCCUAACGGGCUCUCCCCAGCUAGAAGACCAUCAAGCUGAUGCAUUAGAGGAAGUA